UUUUUUUCUAAAACUGAAAAUACAAUUAUACAGUAUUUUUUUUGCUUGAUUGUCCUAGUAUUUUUGCCUUUUUUGCCGAGCAGUUUGUCUGAAAUGAACUACAUAUAUUAGUCAGACCUCUGACUUUCUAUAUUAUGUAAUAGCAACAUACAUUGUUGGUGUUUUUAUAUACAUUCUGACAUGCAGUAAUUUGAGACCCCC
RNAcentral lists this long non-coding RNA (201 nucleotides) under Mytilus galloprovincialis (Mediterranean mussel). Lineage: Eukaryota; Metazoa; Mollusca; Bivalvia; Mytilida; Mytilidae. The record is from RNAcentral.